AUUGAACGCUGGCGGCAUGCCUUACACAUGCAAGUCGAACGGCAGCACGGGGGCAACCCUGGUGGCGAGUGGCGGACGGGUGAGUAAUGCAUCGGAACGUGCCCUGAAGUGGGGGAUAACGCAGCGAAAGCUACGCUAAUACCGCAUAUUCUGUGAGCAGGAAAGCAGGGGAUCGCAAGACCUUGCGCUUUGGGAGCGGCCGAUGUCGGAUUAGCUAGUUGGUGGGUAAAGGCCUACCAAGGCGACGAUCCGUAGCGGGUCUGAGAGGAUGAUCGCCACACUGGGACUGAGACACGGCCCAGACUCCUACGGGAGGCAGCAGUGGGGAAUUUUGGACAAUGGGCGAAAGCCUGAUCCAGCCAUGCCGCGUGAGUGAA
RNAcentral lists this ribosomal RNA (377 nucleotides) under uncultured bacterium. RNAcentral's name for it is "bacterial SSU rRNA". It matches the Rfam family "Bacterial small subunit ribosomal RNA", at positions 29 to 409 of the family's 1533-position model. The record is from RNAcentral.